This 406-nucleotide ribosomal RNA is filed under the name uncultured bacterium. RNAcentral describes it as "partial 16S ribosomal RNA". It matches the Rfam family "Bacterial small subunit ribosomal RNA", at positions 30 to 526 of the family's 1533-position model. The record is from RNAcentral.
AUUGAACGCUGGCGGCAGGCCUAACACAUGCAAGUCGAACGGAUGGCGGACUGGUGAGUAAUUUAUGGGCAACUGCCUGAUGGAUGGGGAUAACUACGGGAAAAGGUAGCUAAUACCGCAUACCAUCAGAUGUGCCAAGAUGGGUUUAGCUUGUUGGUGGGUUAACGGCUCACCAAGGCGACAAUCCCUAGCUGGUCUGAGAGGAUGACCAGCAACACGGGACCUGAGACAGGGUCCAGACUCCUACGGGAGGCACCAGUGGGAAAUAUGGCAAAAUGGGGGCAAGCCGGAUGCACACAGUCGGCGGGGAUGAAGCAGGCCUUCGGUUUGUAAAGUAUGUUCAGCGGGGAGGCGGUACCCGCAGAAGAAGCAACGGCUAACUCCGUGCCAGCAGCCGCGGUAAUUC